UAGAAUACCUGGCAGGGGAGAUAGCAUGAUCAAAAGGUGGUUUUCCCAGGGCAAGGCUUAUUUAUCCAUUGCACUCCAGAUGUGCUGACCCCUGCAAUUUCCCCAAAUGUGGAAACUGGACUGCAUAAUUUGUGGUGGGGGGGACUCCAUUCGCGCUCUCCACU
This 164-nucleotide small nuclear RNA is filed under the name Echinops telfairi (small Madagascar hedgehog). RNAcentral's name for it is "U1 spliceosomal RNA (ENSETEG00000020828.1)". It matches the Rfam family "U1 spliceosomal RNA". Rfam says of the family: U1 is a small nuclear RNA (snRNA) component of the spliceosome (involved in pre-mRNA splicing). Lineage: Eukaryota; Metazoa; Chordata; Mammalia; Afrosoricida; Tenrecidae. The record is from RNAcentral.